RNAcentral lists this ribosomal RNA (497 nucleotides) under uncultured bacterium. RNAcentral's name for it is "partial 16S ribosomal RNA". It matches the Rfam family "Bacterial small subunit ribosomal RNA", at positions 28 to 507 of the family's 1533-position model. The record is from RNAcentral.
GAUGAACGCUGGCGGCGUGCCUAAUACAUGCAAGUCGAGCGAACGGACGAGAAGCUUGCUUCUCUGAUGUUAGCGGCGGACGGGUGAGUAACACGUGGAUAACCUACCUAUAAGACUGGGAUAACUUCAGGAAACCGGAGCUAAUACCGGAUAAUAUUUUGAACCGCAUGGUUCAAAAGUGAAAGACGGUCUUGCUGUCACUUAUAGAUGGAUCCGCGCUGCAUUAGCUAGUUGGUAAGGUAACGGCUUACCAAGGCAACGAUGCAUAGCCGACCUGAGAGGGUGAUCGGCCACACUGGAACUGAGACACGGUCCAGACUCCUACGGGAGGCAGCAGUAGGGAAUCUUCCGCAAUGGGCGAAAGCCUGACGGAGCAACGCCGCGUGAGUGAUGAAGGUCUUCGGAUCGUAAAACUCUGUUAUUAGGGAAGAACAUAUGUGUAAGUAACUGUGCACAGCUUGACGGUACCUAAUCAGAAAGCCACGGCUAACUACGUG